RNAcentral lists this ribosomal RNA (327 nucleotides) under Protodrilus sp. 16 MDD-2014. RNAcentral's name for it is "partial 16S ribosomal RNA". It matches the Rfam family "Bacterial large subunit ribosomal RNA", at positions 1950 to 2524 of the family's 2925-position model. The record is from RNAcentral. Lineage: Eukaryota; Metazoa; Annelida; Polychaeta; Protodrilidae.
GCAAAGGUAGCAUAAUCACUUGCCUCUUAAUUGGAGGCUGGAAUGAAUGGACUCUCUCUACCCAACUUUACCAAGCUUGCCCCCGAAAACUUUCCUUCAGGUGAAGAGACCUGAAUAUUAAAGGAGGACCAAAAGACCCUAUAGAGCUUCAUAGCUAAAGCAACAACCUGCCCACCCUAUUUCAUUGGGGCGAUGAUGGACAUUCGUCCUUUCCUUAUUUGGGUAACAUCCCAAUUACCUAUCCUUUUUAAAGAAUAAGAAAAAGCUACCUUAGGGAUAACAGUUUUAUUCUUCUUUAUAGUUCACAUACGCAGAAGAGAUUGGCAC